GUCCCUUCGGGGACAUCCGAUAAAAUUGGAAUGAUACAGAGAAUAUUAGCAUGGCCCCUGCGCAAGGAUGACACGCACAAAAUACAUCUCCAACAGGUGAGA
Small nuclear RNA from Lolium rigidum, 102 nucleotides. NCBI's taxonomy places the organism in Eukaryota, Viridiplantae, Streptophyta, Magnoliopsida, Poales, Poaceae. The record is from RefSeq and is a predicted model, not a curated record.